GGCUGCCCGCUCAAAUGCCCCCAUAGUGUCCGCCACACAUUACGCAUCUGUUUUGUUACCUAUCUCAUGUAAAUAUUCUCUUCUCUCAUUAGUUACAUUCAGCAGCAGGAAACUGUCACAACCUCUCCUUGUGUCACACACACACAACGGACAUGCCCCUCCCCUCCAUAGGGAUUCUAAUACAGUUGAAUGACAAUUCAGCUCAGUGUUCACUAGGUUAGCAUCAUUAGCAUCGCAGGUUCAGUGUUCACUAGGUUAGCAUCAUUAGCAUCGCAGGUUCAGUGUUCACUAGGUUAGCAUCAUUAGCACCGCAGGGCAAAUUAAUUCAGCUCAGUGUUCACUAGGUUAGCAUCAUUAGCACCGCAGGCUCAGGGUUCACUAGGUUAGCAUCAUUAGCACCACAGGCUCAGUGUUCACUAGGUUAGCAUCAUUCACACCGCAGGGCAAAUUAAUUCAGCUCAGUGUUCACUAGGUUAGCAUCAUUCACACCGCAGGGCAAAUUAAUUCAGCUCAGUGUUCACUAGGUUGGCAUCAUUAACACCGCAGGCUCAGUAUUCACUAGGUUGGCAUCAUUAACACCGCAGGCUCAGUAUUCACUAGGUUAGCAUCAUUAACACCACAGGCUCAGUGUUCACUAGGUUAGCAUCAUUAGCACCGCAAGGCAAAUUAAUUCAGCUCAGUGUUCACUAGGUUAGCAUCAUUAGCACCGCAGGGCAAAUUAAGCUCAAUACAGUUCACUAGCAUAACUUUCCCUGCGGUGUUAAAGUUCAAUUCAGCUCAGUGUUCACUAGGUUAGCAUCAUUAAAUUUCACGUUAUGAUCAAUCUUUCAGCCCUAGUGAGUGUGGUGGUAGCGUAGUGGCUAAGGAAGUUAGCUAGCAUGCCGCAUGCCAUAGUCACAAAGUCCUGAGCUGCCUCCAUAGCACUUAAUCCCAAGACUGGCCCUCCAAAUUGGUAUCUGUAAGUUGCCUUGGAUAAAAGUGUGUGUGUGUGUGUCUGUGUCUGUGUGUGUGUCUGUGUGUCUGUGUGUGUGUCUGUGUGUGUGU
Alosa alosa (allis shad) is the source of this 1044-nucleotide long non-coding RNA. RefSeq lists it as uncharacterized. NCBI's taxonomy places the organism in Eukaryota, Metazoa, Chordata, Actinopteri, Clupeiformes, Clupeidae. The record is from RefSeq and is a predicted model, not a curated record. The transcript is spliced from 3 exons.